AAAAUUCAAGAUAUUUAUUUAGUUGGAGUAAUUGUUAAUUUACAAAAUUACCCAUGCAAAAAAAUCAUUUACUUAGUUUUAAACUACCCUUACAAUGUUGUAGUUCACACAAUGCUUCCCAAUUAAUAGUAUAAAUACUU
This 140-nucleotide small RNA is filed under the name Arabidopsis thaliana (thale cress). Its description in RNAcentral is "ATSL277680". Lineage: Eukaryota; Viridiplantae; Streptophyta; Magnoliopsida; Brassicales; Brassicaceae. The record is from RNAcentral.